Molecule: small RNA, 488 nt
Filed under: Oryza sativa Japonica Group (Japanese rice)
Lineage: Eukaryota; Viridiplantae; Streptophyta; Magnoliopsida; Poales; Poaceae
Description: sRNA Os02g0699350
Source: RNAcentral
CCUGAGGCUUCCAGUCCCUUCAGAGUACUUGCCAACCAGUCCAAGCCCUCAUAAAGACCAUCACCUUUGAGGGCACAAGAGCCUUGGAUAUGCCAGAUGCGAUUCUUUAAAUCAUAGAGGCCAAGGCCUUCGCACACCUCCAACGGCUGCUGUUGACUUACCAUAUCUUGUUUAUUGGCAAAUACCAAUAUUACACUGUUAAGCAUCAAAGGAUCAUUAACGAUUGCCUGCAACAAAGCCACCAAACCUUAGCUUCACUAACAAGGCAAGCAACAAAACAUACCAAACCAUCCGUAUUAUUGAAGUAAUGCCUCCACAGAGGCCUCAACUUCUCUUGGCCACCGACAUCCCAUACUGUAAACAUCACGUUCUUGUACUGUACUUUCUCAACAUUGAACCCUGGUGGAACAGUCGAAAGGACCUCCCCGAUGUGCAGCUUGUACAGGAUGGUGGUUUUGCCCGCGGCAUCCAGCCCAAGCAUCACGACC